UACGGGAGGCAGCAGUGGGGAAUAUUGCACAAUGGGCGCAAGCCUGAUGCAGCCAUGCCGCGUGUAUGAAGAAGGCCUUCGGGUUGUAAAGUACUUUCAGUCGUGAGGAAGGUGUUAAGGUUAAUAACCUUAGCAAUUGACGUUAGCGACAGAAGAAGCACCGGCUAACUCCGUGCCAGCAGCCGCGGUAAUACGGAGGGUGCGAGCGUUAAUCGGAAUUACUGGGCGUAAAGGGCACGCAGGCGGUUAAUUAAGUUGGAUGUGAAAUCCCCGGGCUUAACCUGGGAAUGGCAUUCAAGACUGGUUAGCUAGAGUCUUGUAGAGGGGGUAGAAUUCCAUGUGUAGCGGUGAAAUGCGUAGAGAUGUGGAGGAAUACCGGUGGCGAAAGGCGGCCCCUGGACAAAGGACUGACGCUCAUGUGCGAAAAGCGUGGGGAGCAAAACCAGGGAUUAGAUACC
RNAcentral lists this ribosomal RNA (458 nucleotides) under uncultured bacterium. RNAcentral describes it as "bacterial SSU rRNA". It matches the Rfam family "Bacterial small subunit ribosomal RNA", at positions 340 to 786 of the family's 1533-position model. The record is from RNAcentral.